CGCGACCCCAGGUCAGGCGGGGUUACCCGCUAAUUUAA
Molecule: ribosomal RNA, 38 nt
Filed under: Polylepis besseri subsp. besseri
Lineage: Eukaryota; Viridiplantae; Streptophyta; Magnoliopsida; Rosales; Rosaceae
Description: partial 26S ribosomal RNA
Source: RNAcentral